CUGGAGAAUUUGAUGAAUUCUAUGCAUCUGAAAGGCCUCCGAUGCUUAAGACCUUUUUUUUCUUUUCAAGUCUCAAACAUUUAUUGAACACGUAUAUGUGCCAAGCGCUAUUCUCAAACUGCCCCAUGAGGAAUGGACCACAGAGCUCCAUUUUACAGAUGGGGAAACUGAGAUGGGAGGAUGAGCCUGAGACCACACAGGAAGCAAAGCCUACAGCUUCCAAGAUGAAGCAUGGAAUUCCAGACUGAGGGGCUUUACAAGUUCAUCUCUCUCCCUACAUCCAACUCAGUCUGCUCCUACAACAGAUCCCACUGCCAGAGAGACAGUAAACAGGCACUUUUACUUACCACAAAGAGAGGCAUGGACCUUACUUUGGUGAAGCAACUGGGGGCUCUUCGUGG
RNAcentral lists this long non-coding RNA (401 nucleotides) under Pan troglodytes (chimpanzee). RNAcentral describes it as "lncRNA (ENSPTRG00000054116.1)". Lineage: Eukaryota; Metazoa; Chordata; Mammalia; Primates; Hominidae. The record is from RNAcentral.